CCAGUUGGCCGGACAGCCGCUGCCGCAAGUGCCGAAAGGCCGCGGGGGAGGAAAGUCCGGGCUCCAAGGAAACACGGUGCCGGGUAACGCCCGGCGGGGGCGACCCUAGGGAAAGUGCCACAGAAAGCAAACCGCCCCGGACCUGUCCGGGGUAAGGGUGAAAGGGUGGGGUAAGAGCCCACCGCGCGGACGGUAACGGACGCGGCACGGUAAACCCCACCGGGAGCAAAACCGAAUAGGGGUGGCGCGGGCGCUUGACGCCCAGGCCGGUUUCCAGGCCAGUCACCCGGGUUGGUUGCGAGAGGCGUCCGGCAACGGCCGUCCCAGAUGAAUGGCUGUCGCGUGCGGAUCUUCGGGUCCGUGCCAUACAGAACCCGGCUUACAGGCCAACUGGCAUU
This is a non-coding RNA of 398 nucleotides. It matches the Rfam family "Bacterial RNase P class A". From Rfam's summary of the family: Ribonuclease P (RNase P) is a ubiquitous endoribonuclease, found in archaea, bacteria and eukarya as well as chloroplasts and mitochondria. Its best characterised activity is the generation of mature 5'-ends of tRNAs by cleaving the 5'-leader elements of precursor-tRNAs. Cellular RNase Ps are ribonucleoproteins. The record is from Rfam.